UUCCUUUUCUUCUUCAUUUUUAUUUUUCUGAUCGCGUUUCUUUUCCUUAUUUUCUUUGUUUUCUUUAUUCUUCUUGGGUUUAAGAUGCUGGGUUGUGUUCAAAGCUUCUAAUUCAGAUGAUUUUAGGUUAAAGUCGCGAUCUUUAUAUGGAUUACACCGACCUCAGCCCUCACAGUCACUUGUUUCAGAAAUAAAAGUACCCCAGAAAUACAGCAUCGGAAAUUGAUUACAGAAGGUAAUGUGAUUUUUAUAGUUGCAUUACAAAACUUAUUACAAACUAAUAAUCCUUGUUCCCAAAGUUCUUGCACCAGAUCUGGGAGGGAAUUGGAUGAACUGGAAGAUGUGGACGUUGCUCGAGCUCGACAGAUUUCAUGGCGAUGGGAAUGCAGAUCAAAACGAUGUCAGCCAUGGCGAAUGCGGUAUUGCGCUUCCAAUGCUUGGUCAGACGUGGGGGAUGCCGAGUUACCUUCAAAACCACCAGGUCGAUAUCGUAAUCGCAUGUUGCACACUUCAUAACUUCAUUCGGAGAUACAGCAACGAUGACAUCAUAUUCAACGAACCGGAUGAAGACACUCCUCCUGACAUGGAUUCCUUUUACCAUAGGGGACAUCCAACCACUUCUGAGUUAGAAGCGCAACGCACCCUCCGAGAUAACAUAGCGCUACAAAUGUGGGCAGCUCACCAUCCAAAUAACCCACAAUGAUGGAAGAACUGGACAAUCAUAUCUAAACUAUUUAAACCUUUUUCUGAUA
Molecule: non-coding RNA, 752 nt
Organism: Sesamum indicum (sesame)
Lineage: Eukaryota; Viridiplantae; Streptophyta; Magnoliopsida; Lamiales; Pedaliaceae
Source: RefSeq, a predicted model, not a curated record